UAUAUCAAAUCUAUAAAUUUUUAAAAAAUUUGAAAAUCAUUUGAUAUUUCGUUUCAUUAAUUUAAAUCAAUGUAUAAAAUAAUUUUAUGAUUAUCCAUCAAUUUAAAUUAAUAAAAUGAAGUAUCAAAUGAUUUUCAAAUUUUCUAAAAAUUUGUAAAUUUUUCUUA
Molecule: microRNA precursor, 167 nt
Filed under: Cajanus cajan (pigeon pea)
Lineage: Eukaryota; Viridiplantae; Streptophyta; Magnoliopsida; Fabales; Fabaceae
Description: miRNA gene-KK1_046153
Source: RNAcentral